This 305-nucleotide ribosomal RNA is filed under the name uncultured bacterium. RNAcentral describes it as "partial 16S ribosomal RNA". It matches the Rfam family "Bacterial small subunit ribosomal RNA", at positions 508 to 809 of the family's 1533-position model. The record is from RNAcentral.
ACAGCAGUAGCCGCGGUAAUACGAAGGGGGCUAGCGUUGUUCGGAAUUACUGGGCGUAAAGGGCGCGUAGGCGGCCAUUCAAGUUAGAUGUGAAAGCCCUGGGCUCAACCUAGGAAUUGCAUUUGAUACUGUUUGGCUUGAGUUCGGGAGAGGUGAGUGGAAUUCCCAGUGUAGAGGUGAAAUUCGUAGAUAUUGGGAAGAACACCAGUGGCGAAGGCGGCUCACUGGACCGACACUGACGCUGAGGCGCGAAAGCGUGGGGAGCAAACAGGAUUAGAUACCCCGGUAGUCCCUGUCUCUUAUAA